GGAUGUGAGGGUGAUCUGCCUGCGACAUCUGUCACCCCACUGAUCACCAGGGUUGAGUCGGCUGAUCUGGCUGGCUACGCAGGCAUCCCCUUCCUCCCUCUCCGCUCCAUGUGCGUCCCUCCCACAGCUGUGCACUUGGGCAAAGAGGACGACCAUCCCCGCUAGAGGAGGAGUGGUCUUCAGUCAAGGGUAUAUGAGUACCUGUGCUCCUAUGCUGGAACCUGCAAACAAGCUCUCAAGAAUAAACAUUGCAGGAACAGAAACUGUAGACUUGAAAACCCAGGCAUAAAUCUUCAUGAUCUUGGAUUUAGCAAUGGUUUGUCUAAG
Molecule: unclassified non-coding RNA, 327 nt
Organism: Ochotona princeps (American pika)
Lineage: Eukaryota; Metazoa; Chordata; Mammalia; Lagomorpha; Ochotonidae
Gene: 7SK
Rfam family: 7SK RNA
About the family: 7SK was discovered as an abundant small nuclear RNA in the mid-70s but a possible function has only recently been suggested. Two independent studies have found that 7SK RNA binds the CDK9/cyclin T complex (known as elongation factor P-TEFb). P-TEFb activates transcription by phosphorylating the C-terminal domain of RNA polymerase II.
Source: Ensembl